GUCCACGCCGUAAACGAUGGAUACUAGCUGUUGGAAGCAAUUUCAGUGGCUAAGCGAAAGUGAUAAGUAUCCCACCUGGGGAGUACGUUCGCAAGAAUGAAACUCAAAGGAAUUGACGGGGGCCCGCACAAGCGGUGGAGCAUGUGGUUUAAUUCGAUGAUACGCGAGGAACCUUACCAAGGCUUAAAUGUAGAUUGACCGUUUUUGGAAACAGAACUUUCGCAAGACAAUUUACAAGGUGCUGCAUGGUUGUCGU
This 256-nucleotide ribosomal RNA is filed under the name uncultured bacterium. RNAcentral's name for it is "partial 16S ribosomal RNA". It matches the Rfam family "Bacterial small subunit ribosomal RNA", at positions 793 to 1055 of the family's 1533-position model. The record is from RNAcentral.